This 1294-nucleotide ribosomal RNA is filed under the name metagenome. Its description in RNAcentral is "bacterial LSU rRNA". It matches the Rfam family "Bacterial large subunit ribosomal RNA", at positions 1213 to 2500 of the family's 2925-position model. The record is from RNAcentral.
GGGAACGCACAUAUGGUAGGAGAGCGUUCUGUAGGCCGUUGAAGGUGUCUUGAGAAGGAUGCUGGAGGUAUCAGAAGUGCGAAUGCUGACAUGAGUAGCGAUAAAGCGGGUGAAAGGCCCGCUCGCCGAAAGCCCAAGGUUUCCUGCGCAACGUUCAUCGGCGCAGGGUGAGUCGGCCCCUAAGGCGAGGCAGAAAUGCGUAGUCGAUGGGAAACAGGUUAAUAUUCCUGUACCUCUUUGUAAUGCGAUGGGGGGACGGAGAAGGUUAGGUCAGCCGGGUGUUGGACGUCCCGGUUCAAGCGUGUAGUCGUGCCCUGUAGGCAAAUCCGCAGGGCUUAGAUGAGGCGUGAUAACGAGUGGCCCUGUGCCGCGAAGUGAUUGAUACCAUGCUUCCAAGAAAAGCCUCUAAGCUUCAGUUACAAAGAGACCGUACCGCAAACCGACACAGGUGGGCAGGAUGAGAAUUCUAAGGCGCUUGAGAGAACUCAGGAGAAGGAACUCGGCAAAUUAGCACCGUAACUUCGGGAGAAGGUGCGCCCUGGUAGCGUGAAAGCCCUCGCGGCUGGAGCGUGAAAGGGUUGCAGUGAAAUGGUGGCUGCGACUGUUUAAUAAAAACACAGCACUCUGCAAACACGAAAGUGGACGUAUAGGGUGUGACGCCUGCCCGGUGCCGGAAGGUUAAGUGAUGGGGUGCAAGCUCUUGAUCGAAGCCCCGGUAAACGGCGGCCGUAACCAUAACGGUCCUAAGGUAGCGAAAUUCCUUGUCGGGUAAGUUCCGACCUGCACGAAUGGCGUAACGAUGGCCACACUGUCUCCUCCUGAGACUCAGCGAAGUUGAAAUGUUUGUGAAGAUGCAAUCUCCCCGCGGCAAGACGGAAAGACCCCAUGAACCUUUACUGUAGCUUUGCAUUGGACUUUGAACCGGUCUGUGUAGGAUAGGUGGGAGGCUUUGAAGCUGGGACGCUAGUUCUGGUGGAGCUAACCUUGAAAUACCACCCUGGUUUGUUUGAGGUUCUAACCAUGGCCCGUGAAUCCGGGUCUGGGACCGUGCAUGGUAGGCAGUUUGACUGGGGCGGUCUCCUCCCAAAGUGUAACGGAGGAGUACGAAGGUACGCUAGGUACGGUCGGACAUCGUGCUAAUAGUGCAAUGGCAUAAGCGUGCUUGACUGCGAGACCCACAAGUCGAGCAGGUACGAAAGUAGGUCAUAGUGAUCCGGUGGUUCUGUAUGGAAGGGCCAUCGCUCAACGGAUAAAAGGUACUCUGGGGAUAACAGGCUGAUACCGCUCAAAAAAG